This 497-nucleotide ribosomal RNA is filed under the name uncultured bacterium. RNAcentral's name for it is "partial 16S ribosomal RNA". It matches the Rfam family "Bacterial small subunit ribosomal RNA", at positions 28 to 507 of the family's 1533-position model. The record is from RNAcentral.
GAUGAACGCUGGCGGCGUGCCUAAUACAUGCAAGUCGAGCGAACAGAUGAGGAGCUUGCUCCUCUGACGUUAGCGGCGGACGGGUGAGUAACACGUGGAUAACCUACCUAUAAGACUGGGAUAACUUCGGGAAACCGGAGCUAAUACCGGAUAAUAUAUUGAACCGCAUGGUUCAAUAGUGAAAGACGGUUUUGCUGUCACUUAUAGAUGGAUCCGCGCCCCAUUAGCUAGUUGGUAAGGUAACGGCUUACCAAGGCAACGAUGCGUAGCCGACCUGAGAGGGUGAUCGGCCACACUGGAACUGAGACACGGUCCAGACUCCUACGGGAGGCAGCAGUAGGGAAUCUUCCGCAAUGGGCGAAAGCCUGACGGAGCAACGCCGCGUGAGUGAUGAAGGUCUUCGGAUCGUAAAACUCUGUUAUUAGGGAAGAACAAAUGUGUAAGUAACUAUGCACGUCUUGACGGUACCUAAUCAGAAAGCCACGGCUAACUACGUG